GAUGAACGCUGGCGGCGUGCCUAAUACAUGCAAGUCGAGCGAACAGACGAGGAGCUUGCUCCUCUGACGUUAGCGGCGGACGGGUGAGUAACACGUGGAUAACCUACCUAUAAGACUGGGAUAACUUCGGGAAACCGGAGCUAAUACCGGAUAACAUGUUGAACCGCAUGGUUCAACAGUGAAAGACGGUCUUGCUGUCACUUAUAGAUGGAUCCGCGCCGCAUUAGCUAGUUGGUAAGGUAACGGCUUACCAAGGCAACGAUGCGUAGCCGACCUGAGAGGGUGAUCGGCCACACUGGAACUGAGAAACGGUCCAGACUCCUACGGGAGGCAGCAGUGGGGAAUCUUCCGCAAUGGGCGAAAGCCUGACGGAGCAACGCCGCGUGAAUGAAGAAGGUCUUCGGAUCGUAAAACUCUGUUAUUAGGGAAGAACAAAUGUGUAAGUAACUAUGCACGUCUUGACGGUACCUAAUCAGAAAGCCACGGCUAACUACGUG
Molecule: ribosomal RNA, 497 nt
Filed under: uncultured bacterium
Lineage: Bacteria
Description: partial 16S ribosomal RNA
Rfam family: Bacterial small subunit ribosomal RNA
Source: RNAcentral